Long non-coding RNA from Sorghum bicolor (sorghum), 1139 nucleotides. RefSeq lists it as uncharacterized. Lineage: Eukaryota; Viridiplantae; Streptophyta; Magnoliopsida; Poales; Poaceae. The record is from RefSeq and is a predicted model, not a curated record. The transcript has 3 exons.
GUUUGAGUAGCGAGCAGAGCAGUAGACGCUAGUCGCCUAGAGUUCCGGCUACUGCCGCUCCGUCAGGCGCCGUUGCUCUUCCAAUGUUCCAAGCCGCGCUGCACCGCGCGCGCUGUGCAGAGCUUCAGAGAACCAGGUCGAGUGUUUGGUCGGGGGAGGAGCAGCCAUUGCAGGAGUCCUGUGCUCUUUGCAGCAGCAGCAGCAGCACCACCAGAAGGCAGGAACAAAUUUAAGGCGUAUAUAUGAUCAUACCUGGUAGACAGUUCCAAAUGCACCUUUACCAAGUUCUAGCUUAGGAGAGAAAUCAUUUGUGAUUUGCUUCAGAAAGCUUGCUGGUAUAUCCUUGGGCAAUGUGCUUAGAAGACUAGACCUGGUGCCAGUAGUCAUCUCUGACGAUUGAGAAGGUUGUGAUCUGAGCGACAGCAAGACAUAGCACAAGUUCAAAUCAAAGAAUAGUUGUAUCCCUCAAAGAUUCAGACUGAUCCAGGUUAAGCUGAAACUUUGAUUUCAGUGUUCAUAAUGCAUCCUAAGCUUUAGGAUUUAUUUCUUCCCCUCGAAUUAGAUAUGACAAAUGGUUCAGUACUAAGUUUUGUUCAAAUCAGAAUGCAGGUCAAAUGUGAUGAAUUAAGGAUAAAAGUUCUCUUUCAAAUGUGCGAUGCUACUACAGAUGUGAUGAAUUAAGGGUAACAGUGCAAGCGAAAACAAGCACAAGGCCUUGCAAAAUUCAUGUGAAAACCAGUGAGGACAAGAAGACUGACCUGGAAGGGAAAAGGCGGAGGAUGCAGAGCAGCAGAACGACUGGGAGAGACGGAUGAGUAUCUAUGCUAACUGGCGGGGAUGAAACGCGCUUCUUGGACGCGUCGCGGCCAUGGUGAAGAUAGGUACGACGCGGGUCAAUCUGACAAGUCAAUGGCCAGACGCGUUUCUGUCAGGAAUUUUUUUUUAUUCCAGAGUUCAAAAGUUCUGUUCAUUGUUCCGUAGAGUACACGGAGAUGAGAGAAAAAUUCCAUGGUGAAGCACGUUGCCAUACCUGAUGUUGUAUACUUGUAUAUGGACAUGAGCCGUGGCCAUGCGAAAUGGUGAAUGAAUUGCCUUGCAGUUUCAGAACUGCAGGGAUAUAUGGGCCCAUGUCCACAUAA